Nerophis ophidion (straightnose pipefish) is the source of this 1087-nucleotide long non-coding RNA. RefSeq lists it as uncharacterized. The transcript is spliced from 2 exons. NCBI's taxonomy places the organism in Eukaryota, Metazoa, Chordata, Actinopteri, Syngnathiformes, Syngnathidae. The record is from RefSeq and is a predicted model, not a curated record.
AUCGGCACCGCAACCCCAAAGGGAAUAAGCGGUAGGAAAAUGGAUAGUUUUGGACUUCUUUAGUUCCUGGUUGCACUUCCUUGUUUGUGUGGUCACCAUGGUUACUUAUGAUUUCCACCUGCUUCUGUUUGGUGGGACACACCUGUGUCCAAUCAAGAGAGAAUAUUCAAGCCUGCCUUCUUGAUCACUCGUCCUGGCUUCCUUGUUUGUGGUAAGCAACAGUCACAUAUUCCUGUCUGGACUCUGUGUUAAGUUGUUUCCUUGGCUUCCCGUGCGUUUGGCACGUUUUUCUUUUGUUUCUGUCUGUUUGGUACGGUUUAUUAUUUAUUAAAUCACAUCCUAUCUUUAUAGUUUUCAUCCGGAGUGUCCGUGUUGCAUUGGAGGAACGACCUCGCAUAAAGAUGCAAGACCCCCACGUGACAACCUGGACCAUCUACUCAUCUGUCACUGUCUUUGAGGCCGGUCCUGGCACGUCCUGUUCUGCAGCAGGCCUGCAGGCCACGCCCCCCUCCACACAUGUACAGGUCACUCCGGCAGCAUCCGGGGGGGACAGAGGCCCACGUCAAGGCAGAGAAGGUUCUGGAGUCAGGAGUGGGAGGUAUGAAGUGUGCAUGAGUCAGCAGUGUGGAGGCUGCAGACUAAAUGUGCAUGUGACUGUGAGCGCUGUCCGUGUAUUAUCAUGAUGAUGAUUAUUAUUAAAGAUGCGUGUAUUGGAACCCGUGACUGCUGUCCCCCGUGCUGGUGUCUCAAAGUGGACACUUAGAUCAGUGCCAGUGCAGCAGCCUCAGCAAAGUGGAGGCAAACUGCCCCCUAACGGCCACACGCGGAAUUGCACCUCACUGGAUUAUGCAAAGCAAUGUUUACUUAAAAAAAUGGAAGAAAUGUCAAUAAUUGGCAGCUUUUCAACAGUUUUUAUUCCACCAUUUUGAUUAUACACCCAAUGCAAAACAUAAACACACAUUUAUGAGCAAUUAGUGCAACUGAACAUUGUAAUAUAGUCAAGAAAGGAGGCUUUAGCAGGGCACACAAGCUAAUAAUAAUAAUAAAUACAGGAGAAUGUCUAUGUACAAUAUGACAGUCAGUGUGA